AUGCUCUGUAAUACCGAUUCUUGUUUCCAGCAAUCUGUUCUGUCUCCUGAUUCUGAACACGCACAUUCAUGUCGAUCACUCAUCUCCUUCAUUGGCGCUCUUCUUGUAGGUGUACCAGUUGGCGAUGGGCAGAUAGAUAGCAAAGUUAACGACGCUGAGCACGGUCAUCAGCCAGAAGAAGUAGUCGAGGUGGCCGACGUUGAGGUUCUUGGCCGGGAUCCACCCUUCCUUGCCGCCCCUCGUCGUCACCUUGGCCACCACCGUCACCAGCAGCGUGCUCACGUAGUUCCCGAGCGCCACCGUUGUCAGCGACAGCGCCGUGCACAUGCUCUUCAUGGCGUCGGGGGCCUGGUCGUAGAAGAACUCGAGCUGCCCCACGAAAACGAACACCUCGGCAGCGCCGACGAUGAAGUACUGCGGCACCUGCCAGAAGAUGGAGAUGGGCACUACGUCGUGCUCCCCGUACAGCCCGUGCCGAGCGAUGACGCGGAGGCGGACGAGCUCGAGUACAGCGGCGGCGACCAUGGAGAACAUGGAGACGACGAGGCCGAUGCCCAUUCGCUGGAGCUGGGUGAAGCCGCGCGGGUGACCGGUGACGGAGCGGACGGCCGGGACGAGGAGGCGGUCGUAGACGGGCACCCAGGCGAUGACGCUGAGGGUGUCGAAGAUGGUGAGCGAGGCGGAGGGGAUGGAGAAGUGCGGCCCCAUGGAGGCUUCCAGGGUGUUGCCCUGCAGCACGAACAUGGUGGUCGACUGCCCGUACACCGUCGCGAACACGAUGCCGCUCGCCCAGACGGGCAGCAGCCGGAUCACGCUCUUGAGUUCCUCCACCUGAGUCACCGUGCACAGCCGCCACGCGGAUGA
RNAcentral lists this ribosomal RNA (864 nucleotides) under Triticum aestivum (bread wheat). RNAcentral's name for it is "partial small subunit ribosomal RNA". Lineage: Eukaryota; Viridiplantae; Streptophyta; Magnoliopsida; Poales; Poaceae. The record is from RNAcentral.